CAGCCGCCGCGGUAAUACGAAGGAUGCAAGCGUUAAUCGGAAUUACUGGGCGUAAAGCGUGCGUAGGCGGUGAGUUAAGUCUGCUGUGAAAUCCCCGGGCUCAAUCUGGGAAUGGCAGUGGAUACUGGCUCGCUAGAGUGUGUCAGAGGAUGGUGGAAUUCCCGGUGUAGCGGUGAAAUGCGUAGAGAUCGGGAGGAACAUCAGUGGCGAAGGCGGCCAUCUGGGACAACACUGACGCUGAGGCACGAAAGCGUGGGGAGCAAACAGGAUUAGAUACCCCAGUAGUCCCUGUCUCUUAUAA
Molecule: ribosomal RNA, 301 nt
Filed under: uncultured bacterium
Lineage: Bacteria
Description: partial 16S ribosomal RNA
Rfam family: Bacterial small subunit ribosomal RNA
Source: RNAcentral